UGGAUCCAGACUUUGAUUAUGGCUCAGGAUGAACGCUAGCUACAGGCUUAACACAUGCAAGUCGAGGGGCAGCAUGAACUUAGCUUGCUAAGUUUGAUGGCGACCGGCGCACGGGUGAGUAACACGUAUCCAACCUUCCGUUUACUCAGGGAUAGCCUUUCGAAAGAAAGAUUAAUACCUGAUAGUAUGGUGAGAUUGCAUGAUAACACCAUUAAAGAUUCAUUGGUAAACGAUGGGGAUGCGUUCCAUUAGGUAGUAGGCGGGGUAACGGCCCACCUAGCCUACGAUGGAUAGGGGUUCUGAGAGGAAGGUCCCCCACAUUGGAACUGAGACACGGUCCAAACUCCUACGGGAGGCAGCAGUGAGGAAUAUUGGUCAAUGGGCGCGAGCCUGAACCAGCCAAGUAGCGUGAAGGAUGAAGGUCCUACGGAUUGUAAACUUCUUUUAUAAGGGAAUAAAGUCGCCUACGUGUAGGCGUUUGUAUGUACCUUAUGAAUAAGCUUCGGCUAACUCCGUGCCAGCAGCCGCGGUAAUACGGAGGAUGCGAGCGUUAUCCGGAUUUAUUGGGUUUAAAGGGAGCGUAGACGGAGGAUUAAGUCAGUUGUGAAAGUUUGCGGCUCAACCGUAAAAUUGCAGUUGAUACUGGUCCCCUUGAGUGCAGUUGAGGCAGGCGGAAUUCGUGGUGUAGCGGUGAAAUGCUUAGAUAUCACGAAGAACCCCGAUUGCGAAGGCAGCCUGCUAAGCUGUAACUGACGUUGAUGCUCGAAAGUGUGGGUAUCAAACAGGAUUAGAUACCCUGGUAGUCCACACGGUAAACGAUGGAUACUCGCUGUUGGCGAUAUACUGUCAGCGGCCAAGCGAAAGCAUUAAGUAUCCCACCUGGGGAGUACGCCGGCAACGGUACAACUCAAAGGAAUUGACGGA
This 924-nucleotide ribosomal RNA is filed under the name uncultured Bacteroidota bacterium. RNAcentral's name for it is "bacterial SSU rRNA". It matches the Rfam family "Bacterial small subunit ribosomal RNA", at positions 1 to 917 of the family's 1533-position model. The record is from RNAcentral. Lineage: Bacteria; Pseudomonadati; Bacteroidota.